UUCACGUACAGGACUUGUAAUCAGGCGGAAGCUUGCUGGAGCAGGAGGUCGUCAGACUUGACGCAAAGCUCCAACAGCAGGAGUAAACCCUGAAAGACCAUACAGAAGCAAAAGGGUCAAGUUACAAGGAGAAGAUGCAGGCAGCUGCAACAACGGAUGAAAACAGACCCAAAGAGGAGGGGAGGACCCUAGGCCAUGCGUCAGGCCGCUGGUUUACCUAAACUACAGAACAGGAAGGUGAUGAACACAAACAUACACCAACACACGAAUACACACUUCUGCAUGCGCCGACUUAGAAUGAAGAGAAACACACACAUGAACACUUAUGCACUCGCUAAGGGAGUAAAAACUGAUACAUACCCAUGCACUAAAAUCAAAAUGUUGAUUUAAUUUACUAAGAAGUGACACACAAUGCUCCAGCUGCUGCAAUGAAGAAUGCUUUACUGACAAAGGCUCAAUGCUGCACACGACAACGUCAAAUACAGAAUUUGCUAUAAUAAUAAGCCCAGAGGGCAUUUGUGUGGUCUGGGGAGCAGAGUCCGGAGCGGUUUGGUUAUGAAAACGAUGCCCGUGGGACCAUGAAGAUUUUUUGGUACAGAUUGCAAGUUGUUGCUCAUUAUUGAAGUGUGUUCAUAAAGGCCAAAAGCUAUAUAGGGGGUCUAUCAUUUGGUCUGUGUUUUAAUAAUUUAGGUAUGGCAAAAUUAAAGGUUUCUAGACAAUUUAGGGAACGAGUGAGAAGCAUAAUUAGAUGAUCAGAAACUGAGUACUACACUCAUGUUAGAAUUGAGAAUGCCCAAUUUGUUUGAGGUCUGUUGUUCAUUUUUAUACACACCUUGCAAAUGUGCUUAUAAGGAGCUGGCACUUAGUCUGUGAAGGUCAAAAGCUUCAUCCGACAACGGAUCGGAUUGAUAUAUUGGUGCUAUUGACUUCACGUGCAGAGGGUUAAAUGCAUGCACGCUUACACACAUAAGCAUGGCAUAGGAUUGGAAUAAACAAAGUCAACGACAUUAGGUUAGGAGAGCCAGCGCAGGAGAGGUGUUGGCUUUCUGUCUCUUGCAGAGAAGGGAACAAACACCAGACGGGGACACGGAGAUAUGGGGACCCUUCACAGCAACUGGGGUCAAGUGUCAUGGCCUUGGGGCUCCUUGAUAAGAUGGAUCCCAUAACCACAGCGAUAACCAGGAAGGGGUUGGCUAAAACUAGGAACACCAGAGACCAACGUGGUUCGAGAGGCUUUUGGCAAAAAGGGGGACACGGCGGUCACAACGGACAACAAACACACAGAUCUGUGUAGCGACUGAAGGGUGGUCUAACCCCGGAAGUCGAAGAAAGAAGAAUCCGAGGGCGUUUCUUCACUCCAAGAGGAGGGGGUAAAGGGGCCUGAAGCGUGUCAGGCUGAAACUCGAGUCUGAAGCUAAAAGAACAGCUGGGGUGUGGGAAAAUUGGAAAACAACGGAGGCGUUGGGAUUGAUAAGUGUCAUAACGUGUUUGUUUGGUUUGGAAAUAAAUCCUGGUGUGAGUUGGGCUGGCAAGCCAGCCCAAAGAGGAGGAAUGUGACCAGGAGAUAUUUUAUUUUGUAUUCUUAUGAUCACAGUUAUAAUCAGAAGUAUCAAUCAUUAAUCAUUUACCAUUGUUGAACCAGUUGACAGAAUAAUCUUUGAACCAUAUCUAGGUUAACAUUAAUCUACACAGAUUAUCAGUACUCUAAUCAGUCUAUUGUUGUUCUGUACUAUUCAUGUUAUUUGCUUAAAGCUGUUUCACAGUUCUGUAAUCACUCAGAAGCCUGUGGGGCCUGCUGGACCCUGCCUUGGUUCCAUGUUCCGUUCUGCACGUACACAGGCCUUGAAAGUACAUGCACGCUCUUAUACAACACAUGAAUGUGUACA
This is a long non-coding RNA of Astatotilapia calliptera (eastern happy), 1886 nucleotides long. The record is from Ensembl. Lineage: Eukaryota; Metazoa; Chordata; Actinopteri; Cichliformes; Cichlidae.